AUUAUUAUUAUUGAUUGUGGAGUAAUUUUUUACCAAUCACAUAUUGACACGUAAUCAAUAUUCAAAUGUUGUCAAAAAAAUGUUGUCUAAAUAUCAUUAUCCUAGAAAAAAUAAUAGAAAAAAAAAUGGAAGAAUACUCAUAUACAACAAAUAAUAGAAAAAAUUAACAAAAGGUCGAAAUUCAACUUACAUAAAAGGAUAAAUUAAUCGAUUUUAAUUCAAAAACUCAUCCCAAUGAUUAAUUUUAC
This 248-nucleotide long non-coding RNA is filed under the name Vigna radiata. RNAcentral describes it as "long non-coding RNA (VRAD_LNC004372)". The record is from RNAcentral. Lineage: Eukaryota; Viridiplantae; Streptophyta; Magnoliopsida; Fabales; Fabaceae.